CAUUGCUAGCCCGUCGUAACGAGCACUUUGCAACAAGGCGUGACAAGAAACAGACUGCCUUGAUAGAAGAAAGUCCAGCUGAGAGUGCGGAAGACGUCAAAGGUUUGGAACCUCCAACACAAUCAGUCGUCAUUAACAAUGAAAAUACCCCUCCGGCCCCUCAAACUGACAACACUACCACGCCUCCAACACAGCCACCAGUUAACGAUGAUGGUGAUGAUGAUGGCGUCAUAUUCGAGGAGGACUCCGAACAUGAGGAGGGCUACAUGUUCGGUGGUCAAG
Molecule: long non-coding RNA, 282 nt
Organism: Phragmites australis (common reed)
Lineage: Eukaryota; Viridiplantae; Streptophyta; Magnoliopsida; Poales; Poaceae
Exons: 3
Source: RefSeq, a predicted model, not a curated record